CCCUUAGAUGUCCGGGGCCGCACGCGCGCUACACUGAAGGAAUCAGCGUGGCUUUCUCCCUGACCCGAAAGGGUUGGGAAACCCGUUGAAUCUCCUUCGUGAUAGGGAUUGGGGCUUGAAAUUGUUCCCCAUGAACGAGGAAUUCCCAGUAAGCGCGAGUCAGAAGCUCGCGUUGAUUACGUCCCUGCCCUUUGUACACACCGCCCGUCGCUACUACCGAUUGAACGGUUUAGUGAGGGCCUCGGAUUGGUCUCGGCCCGCUCUUUACCGGGCGGCGCCGUUGGUCGAGAAGACGCUCGAACUUGAUCGUUUAGAGGAAGUAAAAGUCGUAACA
This 334-nucleotide ribosomal RNA is filed under the name uncultured eukaryote. RNAcentral's name for it is "partial 18S ribosomal RNA". It matches the Rfam family "Eukaryotic small subunit ribosomal RNA", at positions 1470 to 1796 of the family's 1831-position model. The record is from RNAcentral.